Molecule: unclassified non-coding RNA, 208 nt
Filed under: soil metagenome
Description: partial contains 5.8S ribosomal RNA, internal transcribed spacer 2, and large subunit ribosomal RNA
Source: RNAcentral
AACCAUAGAAACCUGCGGAGUACCUGCGGAAGGAUCAUUAUCGAGUUGCAAAACUCCAACCCUUUGUGAACAUACCUCAGUCGUUGCUUCGGCGGUGGACGGCCUUUUUUCGAAAAGGCCCGAAGCCGCCGGAGGUUCCAAACUCGUGUUUUGUUUAGUGUAUCUCUGAGCCUGAAAACAAAUAAUCAAAACUUUCAGCAACGGAUCU